GAUGAACGCUGGCGGCGUGCCUAAUACAUGCAAGUCGAGCGAACAGACGAGGAGCUUGCUCCUCUGACGUUAGCGGCGGACGGGUGAGUAACACGUGGAUAACCUACCUAUAAGACUGGGAUAACUUCGGGAAACCGGAGCUAAUACCGGAUAAUAUAUUGAACCGCAUGGUUCAAUAGUGAAAGACGGUUUUGCUGUCACUUAUAGAUGGAUCCGCGCCGCAUUAGCUAGUUGGUAAGGUAACGGCUUACCAAGGCAACGAUGCGUAGCCGACCUGAGAGGGGGGCAGGCCCCAGGGAAAGGAGAAAACGGUACAGACUCCAAGGGAAGGAAGAGGUGGGGAAUUUGCCAAAAGGGGGGAAGGCCGGAAGGGGCAACGCGGGGGGGGGAAGAAAGGUUUUGGAAUGGAAAAACUUUUUUAUUGGGGAAAAAAAAAGGUGGAAAAAAAUAUGCAGGUUUGAAGGGAACCUAAGAAGAAAACCAGGCUAAACUAGGG
This 496-nucleotide ribosomal RNA is filed under the name uncultured bacterium. RNAcentral describes it as "partial 16S ribosomal RNA". It matches the Rfam family "Bacterial small subunit ribosomal RNA", at positions 28 to 507 of the family's 1533-position model. The record is from RNAcentral.